UAUAUAUUUACCCAGUGAUAAAAAAGCCCAAACUUAACCAAAAAACCCCUUUUGUAUCGUCGUCUUCCUGAAGUUAAAAACCCAGGCCCAGUACUCACUGAGACGACUCGCAUAGUAACCCCGAAAAUCACCCUAAAUGAACAAAACCUACACAGGAAGAAAACCCACGAAAAAAUAUAAAAAUAAAUCCAUUUUUCUUAUUUUGAGUGCCAAAACGAACAAAAUUUACAUGAAGGACUUUUAAUAGAGGGACUCGACAACGUGCCCAUGGCUUGCAUUUGCAGGGAGGUGUCGUAUUUUAGGAUCAUUUCAUGUCGUUUUGAUUGAGGGCAGGACGUUGAGGAAGAGUUCGAAGCUUAAAAAAAGAAAAAGCCUUGGACAGAGAUAAGGAGAAGAAACGAGAGUAUUAAAAAUAGGGCAAACGUUUUGCUAUGCCCUAUCUCUCAAUUUUUUGACUCAGUUUCCUCAUUCAGGUAUUACCAACACUCUUCUUUUUUUGCAUCGAUGGGAAGCCCCAGCCUGUAGAUAUUUAGGUAGGGAUGCAUGGAUGUAAUUCAGGACCUGCAGUCUUAGUAAUUGCUGAGAUAGGAUCCAUGGGACGGGUGGUUGAUGGUGGAGUUGGGAUUGAUGUCAAAACUUCUCCAUGCAGAGGAGCUAUUGAGAAAGCUCAAGCAGAGCUUAGGCAGGAGUAUGAUGUUCGAGAGGAAAGGAGAAAAGAGCUAGAGUUUCUUGAGAAAGGUGGCAAUCCCUUGGAUUUCAAAUUUGGCAAUGCAGCUUCAGUUAGUGUCCAGUCUAUUUCUUUCACCGAUCAACAAGCAGAACUUCUUACCUGUGAAGCAAAAGGUAGUUUCACACCAACUAUUUCACCUCAUGGUGAUUCCAUAGAGAGUAGUGGUAGACCACCGGUUCCUGCAAUUUGUGAACCUAAUAGUGCUGAUAAUCUCUUGCUUUUUGAUGGUGAAAAUGAGUUACCUGGAUGUGAAAGGAAGUCUAUGCAUCAUAAGAGGAAUAAUGUUGUUCCAUCAGAGCAAUCUUCUCAGAUAAAUGGGACUCGAAAUGCUAAGGAAUCAGAAGAUUCAGCUAUUUUUCGCCCAUAUGCUCGAAGGAACAGGUCCAAAAAAAAUCGAGAUGGAGUUCGAUCAUGUUCAACAGAUAUGGUUCAGGGUCAAGGUGGUCAUGGUUCUUUAUCUGCGCGUAUAGCAUCAAAGGACUUGAAGGCUUCAACAUGUGAAAAAAAUGACCAGAAGGACAAGAACAUACCUUACACAGAUACUCCAAAAUCUGCUAUUUCAAACGGUGAUUUGGCUUCGAGGAUGAUAAGUUCUGAUAAUCUGUCGAAUAUGAAGUGUGGGCUGGCUGUGGAGGAAACUACUGACCAGUCAAAAUGUUAUCUAUCUGAAAGCAAGGUUGAUGUUACAGCUUCCAAAAGCUUCAUAGAUGACUUGCCUAAUGAACCUGCCCAAUUGGUGGCUAAUGGAUCUACAGUUAAAAUGGCUUCUGAGGAACCUGAUCUUGUUGGAAGGAAGGAGCAGGUAGUUCCAACUGGUCUUGAAUCUUCACCUGGUAUGGGUGCAGAUGCAGCAAAUGCUGACAAUGAAACAAGUUCUAAUCAGCUAAAUGAGUUUAUUGAUCCAAAUAGAGAUAUGAAAAACAUACCAAAUGAAGGAAAAAAUUACGGUGCAGCUAUUGAGACAAAGGGAUUAGAUUCAGAGUCCUCUUGCACUCAGAACAGCUUAAACACCUACGUAAAUAAUGAUAAUGAUGUGUGUAUUAAUCCAGAAAACAUUGACUCUAAUGGAAAGCCCGUGGAAGAAGCAUCAAGAAAAGAGGAGUCACUAAACUCAUCUAUUGGUGAAUUGGCAAAAGAAACCAAUGAGAUCAAGGCUGUUGAUAAUGUAGCUGUUGUUCCUGGUAGUAUUACUUCUGUGAAUCAAAAGCACACUCUUAGUGUUUCUAGUAUCAAAGUGGAGGAAGAAAUUAGAUCUGAAUUGCAAAAUGAGCUGACUUGCCCUUCCUACAAUGAGGUGCAACGAAGCAGUCAAGCUGUAUCAGAAGCUGAUAGGAAAAUUAGUUCUGUGCCUGCUGAUAAUUCUAGUUCCAACAAGGAAAUUUUUCCUUCUAGUAAGCCUCUAGGCUCAAUGGAUAAUGCUAUUUGUGAGGUUCCUGAGGUGACUUUGUCUGAAAGAACCUCAACUCCUAUUGCUGAAACUCAAUCUUGUUUGGAUAAUCAUGUGAAAGUGGUGGACAAGGCACAUGAAGAUUCCAUCUUGGAAGAGGCACAGAUUAUAGAGGCUAAGCGGAAAAGGAUUGCUGAGCUAUCUGUUGGUACUUCACCCUGGAAGAAUCACCAAAAAUCUCACUGGGACUUUGUCCUUGAAGAAAUGGCAUGGAUGGCAAAUGAUUUUGCUCAGGAGUGUCUUUGGAAGAUGACGGCUGCUGCUCAAAUAUCUCGACGUGUUGCUUUUACUUCGCGAUUGAAAUUUGAAGAACAACAUCAAUAUUCGGAACUCAAAAAAGUAGCGUUAAGCCUUGCUAAUGCCGUCAUGUACUUUUGGCAUUCAGCAGAGGUGCUUCUAAAUAGGAAAGAUGCAAGUCUUGGCCCAAAGAAAAGUGGCCAUGAUUUAGUGCACUUACCAGCCAAUGAAGUUCCUAAGAACAUGACUGCAAAACUUGAUAUGGAUAUGAAUGAGGACCAGCAGCACUUUGGAAAUAACAGUAAACUUGCUAUUCAGGCAUAUGCUCUUAGAUUUUUGAAAUAUAGCAGCUCCUCUGUUUCCUCACCUCAAGCUGAAGCUCCAGCAACUCCUGACAUGAUAUCUGACUCGGGCAUUAUGGACAUUUCUUGGGAUGAAAACCUAACUGAAGAAAGCCUCUUCUAUGCAGUACCUUUAGGUGCCAUGGAAACCUACCGAAGAUCUAUUGAAUCUUAUUUGAUACAGACUGAGAAAACUGGCAGUAGUAAGCAAGAGGAGGUUGAAAUAUCUGUUUAUGAUGCUGGGGCUGAGUUUGGAUAUGAUGACUUUGUGUGUGAUGAGGAAGAAGGAGAAACAAGUACUUACUAUUUUCCUGGAGCCUUUGAAGAUAGCAAAUCAUCGAAAUUAAACCAGAAAAAGUGGAAGAAAAUAAAAUCAUAUCUUGCAAGACCUUAUGAAAUGGGUGCUUAUUUUCCACAUAGACACUGUGCCCAACAGUCGAUGUUGAUAAGGAAAAGGCCUGCUAGCAGUCUAAAUGUCAAUCCAAUUCCAAUGAAACGUGUGCGUACUGGUUCCAGGCAGAGGGUUUUAAGUCCAUUUAGCAGUGCACCUGCUGCUGGGAGUUUACAAGGUCCAACAAAAACAGAUGCUUCUAGUGGGGAUACUAAUUCUUUUCAGGAUGAUCAGAAUACUUUGAAUGAAGGAUUCCAGAUCCAGAAAAGCAUGGAGGUUGAAUCAAUUAUGGACCUUGAAAGGCAGCUUCCAUACGACAAUGUGGAAACACCGGUAAAACCUACAAAGAAGAAAAAGGCCAAGAAUCUUGGUUCUGCAUACAAUCAGAGUUGGCAACUGGAAUCUACUGUUCACAAUGAGAAGAGGGAUAAUUCCAAAAAGAGACUAGAGAGUCAUUAUUUCGAUUCUUAUGGGACCAGUGAUUUAUAUGGGCAACGUAAUGCCAAGAAGCUGAAGAUAAUGAAGCAACAACCUGAUAAUGCUUUUGACUUCCCUCCAAGUGGAACCAUCCCUUUUCCAGCAGGGUCCCAAAAGACUAAUAUGUCCAACCCCAGCAAAAUCAUUAGAUUAAUUCAUGGUUGUGACAAGGGUAGAAAAGCCAAAACUCACAAGAUGUCUGUCGAUCUGCCUGGUUCUGGUGGUUCAUGGUCACUAUUUGAAGAUCAGGCACUUGUUGUCCUUGUACAUGACAUGGGUCCAAAUUGGGAGCUUGUAAGUGAUGCCAUCAACAGUACCCUUCAAUUUAAGUGCAUAUUCCGCAAGCCUAAAGAAUGUAAGGAACGCCACAAGAUUUUAAUGGAUAGGAAUGGAGAUGGAGCUGACAGUGCUGAUGAUUCUGGUUCUCUGUCAUAUACAUUGCCUGGCAUUCCAAAGGGAAGUGCCAGACAGUUGUUUCAACAUUUGCAAGGACCGAUGGAAGAGGAUAUUCUUAAGUCGCAUUUUGAAAAAAUUAUGCUUAUUGGCAAGAAACAACAGUACCGGCAGAGUCAGGAUCCAAAGCAGAUAGUGCCAGUCCACAAUUCUCAUGUUAUUGCUCUUUCAAAAAUCUGCCCGAAUAACCUAAAUGGAGGAGUUCUAACGCCUCUCGAUCUUUGUGAUGUCAUUGCAUCAAGCCAAGAUGUCGUACCCCUUGGAUAUCAAGCUUCUCAUGCUGGUGGUUUAGCAAUAUCAAAUCAAGGAGUUGUCGGAUCAAUGCCUCCUGCCUCUGGAGCAAAUUCAUCACUGCAGGGAUCUUCUGGAGUGGUUCAUGGCAGUAAUAUAUCAUCAGCGUCUACCCCACUUAAUGGAUCCGUGAGGAAUAUGCAGCAGUCCAACUUAUCUCUACCUGGAGUUGUUUCCGGAUCAGAUCAUGGGGUUCGCAUGGUACCCAAUAGAAAUGGUGUGGGCAUGACAUGUGGGAUAAGUAGAAGCAUGUCUAUGUCAAGGCCAGGCUUACGAGGAAUGGCAUCAUCAACAAUGCUGAAUUCCAGCUGCAUGCUCUCCAGUUUGGUGGGAAUGCCAAACCCUGUAAAUAUGCACUCUGGACCUGGUUCUGUUCGUGGAAACUUGAUGUUGAGGCCUCAUGACACUAUGCAUAUGAUGCGAGAACAAGGGAACAUCCAGGGAAUUCCUGCGUUCAAUGGGUUGAGUUCUGCUUACACUAAUCAAUCAGCUGCACCACCUGUUUCUUCAUAUCCAGUUCAACCCCAGAAGCAGCAGCAGCAAAUGCCUCCACAGCAAUCCCAUGCACUGAGCAACUCUCAUAACGCUCAUCAUCAGGGCUACAAUCAUGUUUCUGGGUCACAGCAACAAGCAUAUGCCAUGUGCCUCACUAAAGAAAGGCAAGUGCAGCAGCAGCAGCAGCUUAUGCAUCAGCAACAGCCACAGCAACAGUUUGCUGUAUCUAGUGCAUUGAUGCCAAAUGUCCAACAUCAGACCCAACUUCCCAUAUCUUCUCUGCAGAAUGGUUCCCAGAUUCAAUCUCAGGCUUCUACUCAGCCAGGUUCGCUAUCCCCUCUAACACCGUCUUCACCAACGACUCCUAUGUCAUUGCAGCAACAACAUAAAUACCAAUUGGCACCUCAUGGGCUUGGUAGGAACCCCCAACCUGGUGCUAGUGGUUUGAACAAACAGAUAGGCAAGCAACGGCAGCCCCAGCAGCAGCAGCAAUUUCAACAAUCUGGCAGGCACCACCCUCAGCAACGUCAACAAACACAGUCUCAACAGCAAGCCAAACUUUCGAAGGGAGUGGGAAGAGGGAACAUGCUGGUGCAUCAGAAUCCUUCUGUUGAUCCUGCUCAUCUUAAUAGCCUUGGCGUGGUCCCUGGCAACCAAGCUGCCAAGAACAGAGAGCAGAUGAUGCACUUGAUUCAAGGUAAAGGCUUGUGUUCUAGGUCUGGUUUGAGUCCUGUCCAACAAUCUAAAGCUCUCGUUUCUUCUCAAUCUUCAAAUUGUUCUGAGCCGCAGCAAAAGAUAUUUCCUGGGGCUGCAGCCCCUUCUACAAAGAAACUGCAACAAGUGGCUUCCCAUUCUGAUAAUAUUUCUCAAAUGGUGCCUUCUGAUCAUACGCCAUCAGCUGUGCAUCAAUCCUUCCUGCCAGCAGCCAUGGGUCCAAACCACCAGCAUUCACUGCUACAAUCACAAACACACCAAAAGCAGGCUAAUCAAAACAGACCUGCUGUUCAUAGGAUGCUUCAACAGAGUCAACAAGUAAAUUUUGAGCCUCCGAACAAAUCUCAAGUUGAGCUAGGCCAUGCUGACAAACAGACCUUGAACAGUGCUCCACAGAUGGGUACAACCACAACCAUGGAAAUGCCCCAGGCUGUCAUUGAUUCAGCUAACAAUGCAGUCUCAGUUGUUUCUCCUGCUGGACUUCAGUGGAAAUCACCAGAACCAGAGUAUGGUCCUGCUAUGCCAAAUGUGGCCACUGAAGUUGGAUCCAUAGGGAGCCCUCUUACAGAUUCAAUGGGUAAUGAUCCUGUACCUUCUGUCAGCCAAGGGUCAGGGCAGAGACAAUUAUCGGGUUGCUUACCCCCUGACAAGAAUAACGUUGGGGCACAGUGGAUGCAACAGCCACAGACACAACGAUCUCAUAUAUCACCACCUACUCAACAACACUUCCAAUCACAAGAGCAGUCACAACAAGAUUAGCAUAAUUCUUCCCAGCAGCUGCCAUCGCAGCAGUAGUCACUAAUAACAACAGCAAAGCCUGAUUCUGCAAGCAGUGCAGGGCAGCCUGUAUUACAAGCCUUUUAAUUUUAAGAUGGAAUGAAGCAAUCUAGUGAUGAUGCAGUUCCAACAGCAGUGGGUCUUGCUAUGAUUGGUAUGGAAGCCCUUGUAACCCCAGUGUACAGAUGAUGUUGGUUAUUCCAUCCAUUUGGGUGUAGCAGUGUCUGAAACCGGAGGUUGCUAUUUGCAGCAGGUUAGAAAUUCAAAGGGAAAGAAUGGACCGGUUUGUUCCUAGUUUUGUUUUAAUUAAUUUUUGGAGGGUUGGGGGAAAAGGGGGAGGAUUGUGUAUAUUACAGUUGAACAGAGAGUUAGGAAGAUGGAGACAGAUAGAUAGAUAUAGAGGCAUUUGUAGAUAGGUCUUAUCUCCCAUUUCUUUCUUCCCGUCUUUUCCAUGGUCUAUCUGCUGAUGUGGCUAGGGGGCUAUUUCUUUUUUUUUUUUUUUUGUUGGCAGUAGAUAAAAAAGUGCAUGUAUUCUAUAGGGCUUACAGAUGAAACCAGAUAGCAAUGAUUCUUAUGGGCAAAAAAGGCUUAGGAAAUUUAAUUUUGUGAAUAUUAUUAGAAUGAGACUGCACUGCCAGUGUCCAGGUUAGAGAGCACGCAAUGAAUUCAUUGUAGUAAUUAUAUUUUUACAGUCAGAUUUUUCAUAAAUUCAAACUGAUUCCUUUCCAUUUCCUGCUGUGUUGAUGAAUGAUUGUUUGAUAUGUUUCCAAAUUAAGCUGGGACGGAGAACCCUUUUAAAGCUGUAUUUCCAAAUCUUUGAUCCUUUUGAUGAAAGAGAAGGGUAGGAAACUGCCUGAGCAGCUGACUUCCUCAAAAGAACAUAAAUUUAUAUGGUGUCGAAGGUGCCAAUGUUUCUUGUGCGGAUCGUGCAGACAUAAACAGUCAGAAUAAAAGCGAGGAAAACAAAGUUUCAUCAUUGAUGAUGUCAUAUGGGAAACUCUUUUGAAUCUUCUAAAUCAUUUACCACCUAAAAUGGCAGUAAAUGAAAAGGUGGAGAAGAAAUACGAUUUGUGAUAUAUGAAGAAAAAGGAAGAAAUUCACCCACGGUAUGCUGUCAAUAAAUAAAGAGAAACAUGAAAUAGGGGGACCAAAUGUGGACAGUUCAUAAAAUGCUCCAUGAGGGCGCUUGGUUGGAGGAAGAAGGGCCCGUCCCGUGUCAUUGAGAGUUCUUGGUGGGACCCAAGCAAUGGUGGUUAUAAAAUCAUGAGGAUGUAAUAGAAAUAGACAUGAAAGAAUUGUCUUUUGAUCCUAGAAGCAACAAAUCACUGAGGGCCAAGGAAAUCAUACAUUUCCAUUUUGCUUGUUAUUAGCUGAGGGAGAAUGAGAAGAAAUUUCUUAGGUUAUUAUUAUUAUUAUUAUUAUUUUGCAUUUAUAUUUUGUUUUAA
This is an RNA transcript of Gossypium arboreum, 7798 nucleotides long. It is a transcript of the gene named chromatin modification-related protein EAF1 B-like, with no coding region annotated. Lineage: Eukaryota; Viridiplantae; Streptophyta; Magnoliopsida; Malvales; Malvaceae. The transcript has 23 exons. The record is from RefSeq and is a predicted model, not a curated record.